AUCUUUAGCUAUACCACCCUGAACACGCCCACUCUCAUCUGAUCUCAGAAGCUAAGCAGAGUCGGGCCUGAUCAGUACUUGGAUGGGAGAUCAUCUGGGAAAUACACAGGGUACUGCAGGCU
This is a ribosomal RNA of Tupaia belangeri (northern tree shrew), 122 nucleotides long. NCBI's taxonomy places the organism in Eukaryota, Metazoa, Chordata, Mammalia, Scandentia, Tupaiidae. The record is from Ensembl.